CCUUUCUUUGUGCCAAGGAAAUGCAUUUGUGAGUUGGGGGAAAAUGGUGUUAUAAGGGGACAUGUUGCAAUACAGCCCAGUUUAACCCGGAGUUAUUUGAGAUUUAACUGAAACUCCUUCAUUUUCCAAUGUUGGCUCCUCUAUCCACUUUCUGAUAAAAGCAUACGCUUUUAAAGCUUUAGUCAGAAACUCAGAUAAAAUAGAGAUUUAUGUGUGGUGUUAUUAAAAUUUUGUAUUUUUAAAAUAGUAGUUUGUCAUUGGCAAAUUGACAGAACUGGAGAUGACAUUUUAUUUAUUUAUUUAGCAAAUUUUAUUCUGAGCACUGUAGUAAGAAGGCGAGGACUGUAGCUCGUUUCAUUUUUCAGUGGUGUGAUCUUGGGCAAGUCUGUUAUCAUCUCAGAUUUCUCAUCUGUAAAACACAGGUAGUCAGUCAGAAGUACCUUGUGAGAAUGAAAUGCCACUACAUGUGAAAUGCUUAGGACAGAACCUGGCAUAUGGGAAACAUUCACUCAAUAUGUGGAAUCUAAUAUUAAUAGCUGCAAAGAAGCAGUGACUUAUUUAAACAUAACAAUAAAUGAAAAUUUAGGUAAAACUGUAUCAGCCUAGUGACAAUUUCACUGUACUUCCUGUUAGAGCCGCCUGUGAUAAACUGCCCCAGAAUGUUAAUUUCAAAGAGUACAUUAUACCCCACCAAAGAAAACUCUUAAGGCCCAUCUUUGAUUGAUCUUAAGACCAGACCAAGAAGUUGGAGACUUUCAAGGCUUUGAGGAAUGGUCCUGAAAACAAUAAUGAAAUAUUUUAUUCACCUCUCUUACUGCCAGCAACAUACCAUCUCCUUCAAUCAUCAGAUUACUUUUCCGGGAAGGGAAUCCCAGAGUGAUUGGCAUUUGUUAGGUUAAUAACUUGAGGAGAUGUCCAGUGUAGUGUUCCUAGAUUUAGCAAACAAACAACAAACAAACAAACAAGAAAUGCAGGACUGUCAGUUGAAUUUGAAUUUCACAUAAACAACAAAUAACUUUUGGUAUGUCUUAUGCAAUAUUUGGAACAUACUCGACAAAAUUAUUUGUUGUUUACCUGAAAUUCAAAUUUAACUGGGCUUCCUGCCAUAUCUGACAAUCCUAAUAAAUGGAAUUAGUAAAGAAUAUUCCUCACAUUCCAAAAAGACAAGUCAACACAGGCAGAUUAAAGGUGAAUUUGAUGUGGGUUAUUUUAAAAUUUUAUGUGGUAAAGAAAAAGUGGAGUUGUGUUUAUAAGUUGAUUUGUUAUUGAGCUACUUCUUACCUCUUAGUUUCUGCCCGUAUCUCCACUGACAGCAAUACUUACUUACUAUUUAGUAUAAGUAAAAGUGGUUGCUUUUUGCUUUAUUCAAUAUAUUGAAUAUAAAUACAAUAAUGUAUUCAGUGGGGUUUUAUUUAAAUAGUGUUUAUUGAGGGCCAACUGCAUGUCAGGUACCAUUUCACAAAUGAAUAAGACAAAAGUUCAUGUCUGGAGGAUAAGGAAAUUUUAAAAAACCCAAAGUGCUACCCUAUCUAGGUAAAUACAGAAAGGUGGGUGUUCAGUGAAGUGAGUUAAUUGUCCUAGGAAAGGUGUGGAAACCAAGGAUGGGAUCCAUUGCAUGGGAUCCAAUAAAAAAAACUGCUCCAACCAGAAUGAGCAGAAGAGUAAAGACCCAGGAUGGCAGUUGUGCGUAAGUCUGGGAAGCAGCUCAUCGUUGAGUGGAGUAGGAAAGCUUCGGGGAGGUAAAUGGAAAUCCUUGAGAUUAUUACAUGGGGAUGGAAUGCAAAGAAAAAAAUUGGGACUAUAUUUUUCCACUUUAAAGUAUACAUUUAAAAUUAAAUCCAGGAACUGCAAGAGGAAAACAUCCAGAAAAGGCCUGAUGCAGCUUAUGAUGGAUUGAUCUGAACCUACAGGAGUAUCUCAAACAGGAGACCCCAUUUCAACCUGAAAUCUAAGAAUAUUCUCCAAAUGGCCCAGAGAAGGAAGUAUAAUCAGAAGACUGUGCUCAGCUACAGGAAACAGGUUUUAUGCAGUCUAAUCAUAGCAGCACUGCUUGUUGGUUUAUAACCUUUAGAAUCACAUUAUAAACAAGCCAAAGAAGGAUUAAUGUGACUAUAGGCAAAAUGUUAGUCAAAAAUGAUUAUUUUUUUUUUAAAUGUGCAAGUAAAAGUAGAUAGCAGGAUGUAGGAGUAGGGAGAAAAGGUUGAGUUACUAAGGUGCUCGGUUUAGAAAGUAGAGAAUCAGAAGAUACUGCAGCAACUUUGCAGAGGAGAGAACACUGGGGGCUGGGCAUAGAGAGGGAUCUCUGUCAGGAGUAGAGGGGCCAGAAUGUAUGUGAGCUAAAUCUUUGAUUUGCCUAGAAGAAAUUGGGUAGGAAGGGCCUACCAUGGUGCACCAAGAAAUAAUGACAUAUCAGGAUCUUUUGAAAAUAGGAAAAUACCCACCAGAAAUCCAAAACAUAAAUUAUUAAGAGUUUGGGGAAUGGGACUGGAGUUGGGGUUAGGGUUACAGUGGGCUAAAGUGGGGGACUCAUUUUUUUUUUAGUACUUUAGUACUUUUGAACAAUUUGAACUAUAUGCAUGAUGACAUUGAAUAAAUAUUUAAAACUUUUGAAGACUAGAAAUUUGUGAAAAGGAAGACUUAAGAAAAUGGCUUUCAAGAAUCAGUAAGACUAAAAAGAGCAUGCUACAGGGACACUGCUACAUGGAUGUUCAUAGCAGCACAAUUCACAAUAGCAAGACUGUGGAACCAACCUAGAUACCCUUCAAUAGACGAAUGGAUAAAAAAAAAAUGUGGCAUUUAUACACAAUGGAGUAUUACUCUGCAUUAAAAAAUGAUAAAAUCAUAGAAUUUGCAGGGAAAUGGAUGGCAUUAGAGCAGAUUAUGCUAAGUGAAGCUAGCCAAUCCCUAAAAAGCAAAUGCCAAAUGUCUUCUUUGAUAUAAGGAGAGUAACUAAGAACAGA
RNAcentral lists this long non-coding RNA (2960 nucleotides) under Marmota monax (woodchuck). The record is from RNAcentral. Lineage: Eukaryota; Metazoa; Chordata; Mammalia; Rodentia; Sciuridae.